RNAcentral lists this unclassified non-coding RNA (240 nucleotides) under fungal sp. RNAcentral describes it as "partial contains 5.8S ribosomal RNA, internal transcribed spacer 2, and large subunit ribosomal RNA". Lineage: Eukaryota; Fungi. The record is from RNAcentral.
CGCACAUUGCGCCUGUUAGUAUUCUGAUAGGCAUGCCUGUUCGAGCGUCAUUUCAACCCUCAGGCCCAGCCUGGCGUUGGGGCCCCGCACCUGCGGACCCCGAAAUACAGUGGCGGGCUUGCUAUAAGCUUCAGCGCAGUAAUUUUCUUCGCUGGGAGUCUUUAGCGGGUUCUUGCCAUUAAACCCCCAUAUUUUGUACUGAUUGACCUCGGAUCAGGUAGGAAUACCCGCUGAACUUAA